AGUCCAGCGGUAAGGCCCUUUCGGGGGUACACGAGCGGCGAACGGGUGAGUAACACGUGGGUGACCUGCCCUCAGCUCUGGGAUAAGCCUGGGAAACUGGGUCUAAUACUGGAUAUGACCUCAUGACGCAUGUUGUGGGGUGGAAAGCCUUGUGCGGCUGGGGAUGGGCCCGCGGCCUAUCAGCUUGUUGGUGGGGUGAUGGCCUACCAAGGCGACGACGGGUAGCCGGCCUGAGAGGGCGACCGGCCACACUGGGACUGAGACACGGCCCAGACUCCUACGGGAGGCAGCAGUGGGGAAUCUUGCGCAAUGGGCGAAAGCCUGACGCAGCGACGCCGCGUGAGGGAUGACGGCCUUCGGGUUGUAAACCUCUUUCAGCUCAUAGGAUAGGCCGUUAAAGUGGAUCGGUWRGGGCAGGARGAAGCAUCUGCCAACUAACGUGCCAGCAGACGCGGUAAUACGUAAGGGUGCCAAGCGUUGUCCAGAAUUUAUUCGGGCGUAAAGCAGCUCGUAGGCGGUCUGUCGCGUCGGCUGUGAAAACUCGGGGGCUCAACUCCGAAGCUUGCAGUCGAUACGGGCAGGGCUAGAGUUCGGCAGGGGAGACUGGAAUUCCUGGUGUAGCGGUGAAAUGCGCAGAUAUCASGAGGAACACCGGUGGCGAAGGCGGGUCUCUGGGCCGAUACUGACGCUGAGGAGCGAAAGCGUGGGGAGCGAACAGGAUUAGAUACCCUGGUAGUCCACGCCGUAAACGUUGGGCGCUAGGUGUGGGAUCCCUUCCACGGGCUUCCGUGCCGCAGCUAACGCAUUAAAGCGCCCCCGCCUGGGGGAGUACGGCCGCAAAGCUAAAACUCAAAGGAAUUGACUGGGGGCCCGCACAAGCGGCGGAGCCAUGUGGAUUAAUUCGAUGCAACGCGAAGAACCUUACCUGGGUAUGACAUACACCGGCAAAGGCCGGUUGGGAGACAUGGCCUCCGCAAGGCCGGUGUACAGGUGGUGCAUGGCUGUCGUCAGCUCGUGUCGUGAGAUGUUGGGUUAAGUCCCGCAACGAGCGCAACCCUUGUCUCAUGUUGCCAGCGGGUUAUGCCGGGGACUCAUGGGAGACUGCCGGGGUCAACUCGGAGGAAGGUGGGGACGACGUCAAGUCAUCAUGCCCCUUAUGUCCGGGGCUUCACACAUGCUACUAAUGGCCGGUACAGAGGGUUGCUAAGCCGUGAGGUGGAGCGAAUCCCACAAAGCCGGUCUCAGUUCGGAUCGGGGUCUGCAACUCGACCCCGUGAAGUCGGAGUCGCUAGUAAUCGCAGAUCAGCAAUGCUGCGGUGAAUACGUUCCCGGGCCUUGCACACUCCGCCCGUCACA
RNAcentral lists this ribosomal RNA (1356 nucleotides) under uncultured bacterium. Its description in RNAcentral is "bacterial SSU rRNA". It matches the Rfam family "Bacterial small subunit ribosomal RNA", at positions 60 to 1401 of the family's 1533-position model. The record is from RNAcentral.